CAGAGAGGAGGACAGGAGGUCAGAGAGGAGAGGAGAUCAGAGAGGAGGACAGGAGAUCAGAGAGGAGGACAGGAGAUCAGAGAGGAGGACAGGUGGUCAGAGAGGAGGACAGGAGGUCAGAGAGGAGGACAGGAGAUCAGAGAGGAGGACAGGUGGUCACAAAGAGGAGGACAGGAGAUCAGAGAGGAGGACAGGUGGUCACAAAGAGGAGGACAGGAGAUCAGAGAGGAGGACAGGAGAUCAGAGAGGAGGACAGGAGAUCAGAGAGGAGGACAGGAGGUCAGAGAGGAGGACAGGAGGUCAGAGAGGAGGACAGGAGAUCAGAGAGGAGGACAGGAGGUCAGAGAGGAGGACAGGAGAUCAGAGAGGAGAGGAGGACAGAAGAUCAGAG
This 391-nucleotide long non-coding RNA is filed under the name Salmo salar (Atlantic salmon). RNAcentral's name for it is "lncRNA (ENSSSAG00000097142.1)". Lineage: Eukaryota; Metazoa; Chordata; Actinopteri; Salmoniformes; Salmonidae. The record is from RNAcentral.